AUUGAACGCUGGCGGCAUGCCUUACACAUGCAAGUCGAACGGUAACAGGUUAAGCUGACGAGUGGCGAACGGGUGAGUAAUAUAUCGGAACGUGCCCAGUCGUGGGGGAUAACGUAGCGAAAGCUACGCUAAUACCGCAUACGAUCUACGGAUGAAAGCGGGGGAUCGCAAGACCUCGCGCGAUUGGAGCGGCCGAUAUCAGAUUAGGUUGUUGGUGAGGUAAAAGCUCACCAAGCCUGCGAUCUGUAGCUGGUCUGAGAGGACGACCAGCCACACUGGAACUGAGACACGGUCCAGACUCCUACGGGAGGCAGCAGUGGGGAAUUUUGGACAAUGGACGCAAGUCUGAUCCAGCAGUGCCGCGUGCAGGACGAAGGCCUUCGGGUUGUAAACUGCUUUUGUACGGAACGAAACGGUGAGCUCUAAUACAGUUUGCUAAUGACGGUACCGUAGAAUAAGCACCGGCUAACUACGUGCCAGCCGCCGCCGUAA
This 492-nucleotide ribosomal RNA is filed under the name uncultured bacterium. Its description in RNAcentral is "partial 16S ribosomal RNA". It matches the Rfam family "Bacterial small subunit ribosomal RNA", at positions 30 to 523 of the family's 1533-position model. The record is from RNAcentral.